This 760-nucleotide ribosomal RNA is filed under the name uncultured organism. RNAcentral describes it as "bacterial SSU rRNA". It matches the Rfam family "Bacterial small subunit ribosomal RNA", at positions 51 to 874 of the family's 1533-position model. The record is from RNAcentral.
ACACAUGCAAGUGAACGAUAUAGUGGAGAGGGUGAGUAAGCGUGGGAACGUGCCUUCACUACGGAAUAGCUCUUGGAAACGAGUGGUAAUACCGUAUACGCCCUCCGGGGGAAAGAUUAUCGGUGAAAGAUCGGCCCGCGUUAGAUUAGCUGGUUGGUGGGGUAAUGGCCUACCAAGGCGACGAUCUAUAGCUGGUCUGAGAGGAUGAUCAGCCACACUGGGACUGAGACACGGCCCAGACUCCUACGGGAGGCAGCAGUGGGGAAUCUUGCACAAUGGGCGAAAGCCUGAUGCAGCCAUGCCGCGUGAAUGAUGAAGGCCUUAGGGUUGUAAAAUUCUUUCAACGGUGACGAUAAUGACGGUAGCCGUAGAAGAAGCCCCGGCUAACUUCGUGCCAGCAGCCGCGGUAAUACGAAGGGGGCUAGCGUUGUUCGGAAUUACUGGGCGUAAAGCGCGCGUAGGCGGAUUAUUAAGCCAGAUGUGAAAUCCCGGGGCUCAACCUCGGAACUGCAUUUGGAACUGGUAAUCUAGAGGUCAGGAGAGGUUCGUGGAAUGCCGAGUGUAGAGGUGAAAUUCGUAGAUAUUCGGUGGAACACCAGUGGCGAAGGCGACGAACUGGACUGAUACUGACGCUGAGGUGCGAAAGUGUGGGGAGCAAACAGGAUUAGAUACCCUGGUAGUCCACACCGUAAACGAUGAGAGCUAGUUGUCGGCAUGCAUGCAUGUCGGUGACGCAGCUAACGCAUUAAGCUCUCCGCCU